GGGGAUUAGCUCAGCUGGGAGAGCGCCUGCUUUGCACGCAGGAGGUCAUCGGUUCGAUCCCGUUAUCCUCCA
This 72-nucleotide transfer RNA is filed under the name Latilactobacillus sakei. Its description in RNAcentral is "Lactobacillus sakei tRNA-Ala". It matches the Rfam family "tRNA". Rfam says of the family: Transfer RNA (tRNA) molecules are approximately 80 nucleotides in length. Their secondary structure includes four short double-helical elements and three loops (D, anti-codon, and T loops). Lineage: Bacteria; Bacillati; Bacillota; Bacilli; Lactobacillales; Lactobacillaceae. The record is from RNAcentral.